GCCAGGCGUGAUGGCUCACGCCUGUAAUCCCAACAUUUUGGGAGGCCGAGGAGGGUGGAUCACCUGAGGUCAGGAGUUCUAGACCAGCCUGGCCAACAUGGUGAAACCCCGUCUCUA
Macaca fascicularis (crab-eating macaque) is the source of this 117-nucleotide unclassified non-coding RNA. It matches the Rfam family "Metazoan signal recognition particle RNA". Rfam says of the family: The signal recognition particle (SRP) is a universally conserved ribonucleoprotein. It is involved in the co-translational targeting of proteins to membranes. NCBI's taxonomy places the organism in Eukaryota, Metazoa, Chordata, Mammalia, Primates, Cercopithecidae. The record is from Ensembl.